Molecule: long non-coding RNA, 4525 nt
Filed under: Homo sapiens (human)
Lineage: Eukaryota; Metazoa; Chordata; Mammalia; Primates; Hominidae
Description: HSALNT0278597
Source: RNAcentral
GUCCGCAGCCCUGUUGGGGCCCUGAGAGACCGGCCCACCAGUGCCCAGAGGUCAGAGGAGGCGGGUCUGGGCUUGGGAGGCCCUGUGGGAUCUUGGCAGGCAGAGAAGUGGAAGGAACGGAGGAAGGUGGCUUCUCAGGCACGGGGGGAGCACCGGCCAAGUGGGUAGUGGGGAGGCCCAGAGUCCAGCAGCUGCACCCAGGCUUGCGUGUCUGGGGAGGACAGCCCGGCCCAGGCUCUUUCUGCACUGAAGCUGGAACCCACCAGGGUCGGGUUGCUCUGUUAGCUCCAGCACACGGAGCAAACACACAAAGAUUAGCAAACUUCUUUCCGGUGAGCUGAGUCAAAGCGGAUGAGCAAACACGGGCGCCCUGUGAGUCUGGCGUCUUCACCUGUGAGAAGGCAGACAAGCCCCUCACUGGCCCCGGAGGAGGAAUCACUGUUUGGUUUGAGAGGCGAGAGUGAGGCCCAGCGGGGUCAGGAGAAGGGCCCGGGCGCCCCAGGCAUGGGGGAAAUGCCCAGGAGAAACAGCCAGAACCAGGGAGGAGCCUUCCUGGCACACUGGAGAGCUUCCUCGGGAAGGCAGACGCGUUCGCAGAGGGCCUGGCCCACGGGGGUCGGCUGGCAGGAGCGAGGAGCAGAGAUCGCAGGAGCCACGGUGGUGGGUGAGCCCUGAACUAUACAUCAGACUCGGAAAACGGCAGCGUUGCAGGGGACAUUCAGCUAACCGUGAGGCCUGAUGAGGGCGUGAUGACGGUGGCGCAGCCGGAGGGCCCCCCUCUCAGGCAGCUGGCCCCUGGGAUGGGCUGGCAGCAGGUGGCAGCCAAGAAUAUUUGACCCCCUGCUCCAGAGGGCACCCCACCUCCACAGGCACACACACAUCUAUGCCCUGAGCUGGGACGAGCUGCACAGAGCGGGCUGGGGGCUGCUCCCUGGAAAAGAGGCAGCAGGUCCCUGGGACGCCUGGAGCCGCUUCUCCCGGUGCCAGCCUUGCCCUCUGCGUACUGGACAGCAACAAGCCCAGGCACAGGAACCCUGCCCAGGAGCCACCCUGUGAACCUGCCCCAGGAAACCCACCCCACUUCCAGCUUUGGUUUAACUUCCAGUCCUUCCAUGUGGCCUGUGUCACUAGGACCAGGAAUUGAAUCACUGCCAUCAUUGGGACUGAAAUUCCUACCCAGGCUCCUGCUGCGCGCUCCACAGCCGUGUGAAUCUUGGCAGAACACUGGGCUCCUCUAACCUCAGUCUGCUCGUGGAUACAAUGGCCGCAAUGCUUCCUUCCUUACUGGGCUGUGGGAGGAUGGACAGAUCACAUGUGGGAAGCGGGACAGGGAUGAGGGAUGUGGCAGCCCUUGCGCUGUAUACAUCAUGAUAAUGUCUUCUUCUGAUUACUUCCCAGCAUGGGACCUGGCACACAGUAGGUGUGCAACAAUGCUUAUUGAAUUCAUACAUUUGCAUGCACACACACACACACACACACACACACACAUACACACAUGUCAGGCGACCUACAAGGGUUAUGUGGGCACCACCGCCCUAGCUCCAACUCAUCCCAACCCCGUCUGCCUAGGACAGUGGCCGUGAUGCCCGCAGAAGCAGCCUCCGCACCCCCAUUUCUGGUGCCGCCUCUGCCCUGCGGAAUCCUGGCCGACACCACAGGCGGAUGGAUUUUGGUCCAUGGCACUUGAUCACUUCCAUACAAUGGGGAGAGCCUGCUGAGGGCAGAGCUGAGGCAAGCAUGGCUGUAAAUCAUCAAAACCACCACCAUCAGGCGCUGGUCUUGGUCUUGGGAGUGUCUGCUCUGUUUUGGCUAAUUGGCUUCCUACUUAUGAACGCACGUGCACACCCAGCCUCUCCCCCAGACGCCUCUCACGUGGGCCUGUUCCUGAGAGCUGUCCAUAGACCCACGAGGCUGGAAGAAGAGCUCCAUCUGACCGGGUGCAGCCUCUGCGGGUGCCCAGGAAGGCUAGGAGAGUCAGAGGUGGUGGUGGUCAUUUUCCCACCUCCAUAACCGGGACGCCAGGACUGGGGACAAGGUCUUGCAAGUGCUGUAACAAAGGCCUGAAAACCAAGGCACGUUCCUACAAUCACAACAGUGGCCCUGCUUAUCAGGCACUUGACAGAAUGCCAGGCUCAGUGUGCCAUGCUUGCAAACAUUGUCUUACAAUUUAACCAGUCAGCACUUUGGAAAGGAACAAGGCUCUGUAAAAAUACACCAAUAGGCAAAAUGAUACAGCAUUCUAUAUGUUAGUGCAAAUGAGUAAAAACCCCAUGGUGUCUUCUGGUCACUCCAACAAACCUGCCCAGCCUUCAGCACCAAGCCUCUGCUGUGCGUGCUGCCCCUGAGCACUCCUCUGGAUGUCCCGAGCCCCCUGACUCCGGGUUUGGUGCCAUGCACUGCCAACCCACUUACCCCGGCUGUGGGUGCAGAGGGUAAGCUCUGUCUUGUGGAUGUGCUGGUGAAUUUUACCACCCAGCCAUUUCAUUCAGAUUACUUCUGCCCAUCCAGUUUGGGGUACUCUCUGCUCCUGCACCACACACAUCUCCACUGCAUGGGUCUGCGGUUGCUGUAACAUUGCUCUGUAACAAACAGUCCCCCAGGCUCGGUGGCUCACAGCAACACACGUGUGUUUCUCUCACUCCCGGGCCUGUGGUCCAUCUGGGGUUGGCCGUCCUGGUUGGGGAUGGCUGGGCUCCACGGAGCUCAGCUGCACUUGGCUCCAGGCUGUGAGUCAGUUUCGGGAUGGCUCCACAUGCCUCACGCUGGGGUCUGUUCUUCUCUUGAUGGUGACCAAAGAGUGCGGGUCAAACCACACCACGUAAGCUCGCGGAUGGUCUGCUCGUGUGUCUCGGCUGCUGUUCCAUCUGCCAAAGCAGACCACAAGGCCAGGCUCCGAGUCAGCAGGAUGAGAGUGUAGACCCCCACUGAACUCUGCUGGAGGGCACCGUGAGGUCACACAGUGCAGGGAGGGAGUGGGGAAUGGGGAUGGGUGACCGCAUCUUCCACACGUGUCCUCAGCACUCUCUCCAGUUUAUUCACACAUCUGCGCCUGUCCAGGCUGUCCCUCCUGAGGACAGGCCCCUGCCUGUUCUCCCUGGACAGGAGAGUGGAGGUUUGUUAAGUACAGAGCCAGGCCAGGCCCUGAGGGUGCAGAUCUCAGCAAGACAAGCUCAAGUUCAGAGUCAAGAAGGGACGUCAGUACUUAGGUAAUGGCAUUCCUCCCAGCUUAGCAGGGCUCAGGAAGAGGAAUGGAGAUGAGGCCAGGAGCAUUUGUGUGUGAAUGACGGAACAGGAAAGUCUUCGCAGGGGAGGUGGCCCCAUAAAGGAGCGCCACAGGCUGGAUGGGAUUUUAGCAGGCAGAGGAAUGGGUGGAGGGCAUCCUGGAAGAGGGCACUGCCUGGGCAAAGACCUGGAGACGAGAAAGUCUGUGCCGUUCAUUGUUUAGCCUGGCUAGCCCUGCUGCCACUUGCUGGGCAAGCUGCCCUCCCUCCCUGGGCCUGGACGUUGCGGAGGGUCCACAGCCCUAGGACCCCAUCAAAGGCAAUUCCCCGGCACUUGAGUUGUUCCCUGAGAACUCCUUCAAGCUCCUCUGGCACCAGCUCUAAAUUAACUAGUAACUAGGAACCUCUGAUCUCAUUAUGUGAAUUAUAAUUGUCCUGUUCUUUAAUAAUUCAUGGCUGUGGAGCCCCAGGACACGGAGGCUCAGGAGAGCCACACAGCAGGCAGCUGGAAGGGGAGGCCGGGUGGCUUAAAGGUGGCUCACAAAUACUCUAGUUCACGAUAAUUCGCAAAAUAAGUAAUACACAUCCCCAGUGCCCUUAGGCUAGGAAGGUAUUUCAAUACCAACCAGUUGAAAUCACUGCAGGGAGAGAGGUUAUUCUCCCACAUUAAAUACGUCCUUGUCUCCCAAGAAUUCAAGACCCUGGACAGAGAGAGGACAUUUAAGGAAAUGAAUCCUGCGCAGGAAGCAUUUGUUCAAGAUGUUCUGAUCCCUGCCCAUACACACCACUUCCAGACAGUGCAGACCAGGAGACAGAAAGACCUGUAUUCCCAAAUAGGCUCCUGUGUCUUGUAGCUAUAUGCGCUUGGACACAUCCCUUAGCCUCCAUGAGCCUCCGUGUAUCCAUCUGUGGAAUGGGCAGGUGAUCCCUGCUUGGGCCGGUCCUCCAGGAGGCCUGGGAGAAUGAAGGGAGAUGGGUGUGUGAAGAUGCACGAGGAGGUUCUCACCCUGUGAACAUGGAGGAGGCUGGGCAGAAGAAGGGCAAUGAGGGGUCCCAGGGGGGCACAGGGAGGGGAAGGAAUGAGGAGAGAGAGGUUGGUCACCCCAGGCCUGGGGCAGUGACUCUGGCAGUAAACAGGGACCCAGUGACCUCAGAUGUCACUUGCAGGAGGCCCAUGAAGCCUGGGCCCACCUGCUCUCUCUGCAGGUGUGUGAACAGCCCCCAGCAGCCCCCAGACAUGAGGGCUGAUGCACUAAAGACCCUCGCUUGUGCCAAGGAUGUGUGGGAGCCUGGCUGCAGCUGGC